ACAAAUAAAUCCAUCCCCUUCUCCCUUCUUCAACCUUUCCUAUGUUUUAGGGCACAGUUCAAUCAAUCCCAUUUUCCUCCCAAAUCGAGCAAGUGAACUAGCUGAUCGAGCUCACAAACUGCCAAUUAGUGACAAGUAAGACGCCAUUUCAUAGAUUAGUGGAGGUCCGGUAGUGAUUUGCGGAGUCUACAGGCGUGAGGAAGACGGGCUUGCCUUUGUCAGGAGAGAUUCGCAGAAUUAUUGAGGUCUGUCGCCAAAAGAAAAAGAUUCUCGACUGAGGGCUUUGUCGAGGGCCCCAUCUCCAUAGCGAAGCUCAUCUUUGUCUUUAAGAUCGGGUCGACCUUUGCCUCCAAGACUCAUUGCAAGUCAAGAGGUUCUGCUUAGACAAGUGCAUCCACCAUGGCUCCUAAGGGUGAGAAUAUCAUCGAGUGGAUUGAUCAGAUAUAGUUGGCUUUGAUUCAUAUCAUGCUUGACAAGUUGAAAAGGAGCCAGACCACUUCUUGAAAACAAAGGGAUUGUGAUGAAAUGACGGUGGAGAUGAAAAAAUAAUUUCCCGACGAGCAACUGUGCUCCCAGAAGAUAAAGGACAAGGCGACGAGACUGAAGACCAUGUACAAGCAAUUCAUUGAACUGCUUAACCAUACUGGAGUCGGAUGGGAUGAAGACACUAACACUAUCAAGACAAGUCCCGAUAUAUGAGAUAUGUUUAUCAAGAAGACCAAGGCCUUCAAUACAUUCCAAACUAGAAGCUGCAAGCACUAAUACCUGCUGAAUGAGCUUUUCAGUACGUCGACUGCUACCGGUGCUCUCCGCAUCUCCUCGACCGAUCGGCCAAGGACUUUAAAGGAGGAACGACAGGUGCUUGAGGAAUUCCUGUCAACAUCCAAGAAAAAAUAGAAAUAACCUAUCAAUCUCGAAGAAGGCUCCGACGAGAAUGACGACUCCGUCUAGGUUCAAGAGCCUAUUAUAUCUUAGUCCAAACACCAAGUGCGCAAAAGGCCUUCAUCGACAAGGUUACAACUGCAGGAGCGCAUGAACUUGUUCAAGGCCAGUUUCAAACACAAGCCAAAGAGCACCCUACCGUCGUCAACGAGAAGCAAGUUCGUUUUAAGCCCUAAUAAGCCUGAGAGGAAUAACAUCAAGGAAGCCAUGGUAGAGUUUGGAUAAAUUGAAACCAACCACUUAAACCAUAUAUAGCAGGCAGCUUAGCUCUCCUUGAUGACAAAAUGAGGAGGCUUUUCAUGUACUACGCGAAAGACGCACGAAGGGAAUAGAUACAACAUCUUUUUGACUCUUGAAUGAGCUCAGGAUCCGGCUUUAUGUUUAGUUGAACUUUUCGAUAAUCUCAUUACAUUGCUUGUAAUGCUAUGUUUGUUAUGUUUGUUUGGAUAUCUUGACUUGAUUCUGUUUUAUGUGUGCUUGGAAUUUUUUAUUUUGUAUGGUUAUGAAUUAUUGUGUUUUACCGUUAA
Non-coding RNA from Punica granatum (pomegranate), 1469 nucleotides. NCBI's taxonomy places the organism in Eukaryota, Viridiplantae, Streptophyta, Magnoliopsida, Myrtales, Lythraceae. The record is from RefSeq and is a predicted model, not a curated record.